GAUGAACGCUGGCGGCGUGCCUAAUACAUGCAAGUCGAGCGAACAGACGAGGAGCUUGCUCCUCUGACGUUAGCGGCGGACGGGUGAGUAACACGUGGAUAACCUGCCUAUAAGACUGGGAUAACUUCGGGAAACCGGAGCUAAUACCGGAUAAUAUAUUGAACCGCAUGGUUCAAUAGUGAAAGACGGUUUUGCUGUCACUUAUAGAUGGAUCCGCGCCGCACUAGCUAGUUGGUAAGGUAACGGCUUACCAAGGCAACGAUGCGUAGCCGACCUGAGAGGGUGAUCGGCCACACUGGAACUGAGACACGGUCCAGACUCCUACGGGAGGCAGCAGUAGGGAAUCUUCCGCAAUGGGCGAAAGCCUGACGGAGCAACGCCGCGUGAGUGAUGAAGGUCUUCGGAUCGUAAAACUCUGUUAUUAGGGAAGAACAAAUGUGUAAGUAACUAUGCACGUCUUGACGGUACCUAAUCAGAAAGCCACGGCUAACUACGUG
Molecule: ribosomal RNA, 497 nt
Filed under: uncultured bacterium
Lineage: Bacteria
Description: partial 16S ribosomal RNA
Rfam family: Bacterial small subunit ribosomal RNA
Source: RNAcentral